UCGAGAAUAAUUCACAAUGGGGGAAACCCUGAUGGUGCAACGCCGCGUGGAGGAUGAAGGUCUUCGGAUUGUAAACUCCUGUCAUCUGGGAGUAAGACCUGGGCGUGAAUAGCGCACAGGGUUGAUAGUACCAGAAGAGGAAGGGACGGCUAACUUCGUGCCAGCAGCCGCGGUAAUACGAAGGUCCCAAGCGUUGUUCGGAAUCACUGGGCGUAAAGGGUGCGUAGGCGGUUUGGUAAGUCAGAUGUGAAAUCCCGGGGCUCAACCCCGGAACUGCAUCCGAUACUGCCAGACUUGAGGACUGGAGAGGUGACUGGAAUUCUCGGUGUAGCAGUGAAAUGCGUGGAUAUCGAGAGGAACACUCGUGGCGAAGGCGAGCUACUGGACAACAUCUGACGCUGAGGCUCGAAGGCUAGGGGAGCAAAAG
This 427-nucleotide ribosomal RNA is filed under the name uncultured Luteolibacter sp. Its description in RNAcentral is "bacterial SSU rRNA". It matches the Rfam family "Bacterial small subunit ribosomal RNA", at positions 355 to 774 of the family's 1533-position model. Lineage: Bacteria; Pseudomonadati; Verrucomicrobiota; Verrucomicrobiia; Verrucomicrobiales; Verrucomicrobiaceae. The record is from RNAcentral.